AUACAUAACGGCACAAUAAAGAAGAACGUUCUAGAGAAUAUAAUAAGAAAU
Molecule: non-coding RNA, 51 nt
Filed under: Trypanosoma lewisi
Lineage: Eukaryota; Euglenozoa; Kinetoplastea; Trypanosomatida; Trypanosomatidae
Source: RNAcentral